UGGGAACGCGAAGAACCUUACCUACUCUUGACAUCCAGAGAACUUAGCAGAGAUGCUUUGGUGCCUUCGGGAACUCUGAGACAGGUGCUGCAUGGCUGUCGUCAGCUCGUGUUGUGAAAUGUUGGGUUAAGUCCCGCAACGAGCGCAACCCUUAUCCUUUGUUGCCAGCGAUUCGGUCGGGAACUCAAAGGAGACUGCCAGUGAUAAACUGGAGGAAGGUGGGGAUGACGUCAAGUCAUCAUGGCCCUUACGAGUAGGGCUACACACGCGCUACAAUGGCAUAUACAAAGAGAAGCGACCUCGCGAGAGCAAGCGGACCUCAUAAAGUAUGUCGUAGUCCGGAUUGGAGUCUGCAGCUCGACUCCAUGAAGUCGGAAUCGCUAGUAAUCGUGGAUCAGAAUGCCACGGUGAAUACGUUCCCGGGUCUUGUACACACCG
This 438-nucleotide ribosomal RNA is filed under the name uncultured bacterium. Its description in RNAcentral is "bacterial SSU rRNA". It matches the Rfam family "Bacterial small subunit ribosomal RNA", at positions 954 to 1392 of the family's 1533-position model. The record is from RNAcentral.